GACGAACGCUGGCGGCGUGCUUAACACAUGCAAGUCGAACGAGAGCGUAGAGAAAGCUUGCUUUUUCUACAAUCUAGUGGCAAACGGGUGAGUAACGCGUAAACAACCUGCCCUACGGAUGGGGACAACAGCUGGAAACGGCUGCUAAUACCGAAUACGUUCCGAAAGUCGCAUGACUAUCGGAAGAAAGGUUGCCCUCUAUUUUUAACCUAUCGCCGGGGGAGGGGUUUGGUUUUGAUUAGCUAGUUGGAGGGGUAACGGCCCACCAAGGCGACGAUCAGUAGCCGGUCUGAGAGGAUGAACGGCCAAAUUGGAACUGAGACACGGUCCAGACUCCUACGGGAGGCAGCAGUGGGGAAUCUUCCGCAAUGGGCGAAAGCCUGACGGAGCAACGCCGCGUGAGUGAAGACGGCCUUCGGGUUGUAAAGCUCUGUUAUACGGGACGAAUAAUCUUGUGGUUAAUACCCAUGAGAAGUGACGGUACCGUAAGAGAAAGCCACGGCUAACUACGUG
RNAcentral lists this ribosomal RNA (513 nucleotides) under uncultured bacterium. Its description in RNAcentral is "partial 16S ribosomal RNA". It matches the Rfam family "Bacterial small subunit ribosomal RNA", at positions 28 to 507 of the family's 1533-position model. The record is from RNAcentral.